This 405-nucleotide ribosomal RNA is filed under the name uncultured bacterium. Its description in RNAcentral is "partial 16S ribosomal RNA". It matches the Rfam family "Bacterial small subunit ribosomal RNA", at positions 28 to 526 of the family's 1533-position model. The record is from RNAcentral.
GACGAACGCUGGCGGCGUGCUUAACACAUGCAAGUCGAACGAGUGGCGAACGGGUGAGUAACACGUGGGUGACCUGCCCUGCACUUCGGGAUCAGCCUGGGAACCUGGGUCUAAUUCCGGCUAGUGUGGGCUGGGCCCGCGGCCUCUCAGCUUGUUGGUGGGGUAAUGGCUACCAAGGCGCGACGGGUAGCCGGCCUGAGAGGGUGGACGGCCACAUGGGGACUGAGACACGGCCCAGACUCCUACGGGAGGCAGCAGUGGGGAAUAUUGCACAAUGGGCGGAAGCCUGAUGCAGCGACGCCGCGUGGGGGAUGACGGCCUUCGGGUUGUAAAGUACUUUCAGCGGGGAGGCGUUACCCGCAGAAGAAGCACCGGCUAACUCCGUGCCAGCAGCCGCGGUAAUUC